RNAcentral lists this long non-coding RNA (3516 nucleotides) under Triticum aestivum (bread wheat). RNAcentral's name for it is "long non-coding RNA (TAES_LNC020785)". Lineage: Eukaryota; Viridiplantae; Streptophyta; Magnoliopsida; Poales; Poaceae. The record is from RNAcentral.
UUUAAACUGUAUAAAUGAACAGUUGAAUUAAAAUGCCUUGCUCUUAGCAGGAUGCCACAUGGUAUGACUUACAUCCUAAUUAAUAGCAUAAAGCAAAGCACAUUCAAUUAAUCCCAAUAUACAACACAACUGUCGGACAAUCAUAACAUAUCCUACUUUUUAUAGAGUUAGGCUGGUUGUCGAUCUACCCCCCUUCGGGUUGGGUGAAAAUUAAUUCUGAUGGAUCGCUAUCUUCAGAUGGAAGAGCUGGAGCUGGCAUGGUGUUAUGAGAUGACACCGGACCUAUUUUUUUCCUUCUUGCAUAGAACUUUUCUCCUACCAGGAUGAUUUAGAAUCAGACUUAUGUGCUUGUAGCCAGGGCUUAUCAUUGGCCUUCAGAGGAGUGACCUUCCCGUGGUGAUUGAAGUGGUCUCUCUUAAGUUACAAAUAUGAUUCAAACCAGCGACAUGGAUAGAUCGGUGUAUUCCUUUUUGGUGAAAGAAAUAAAGCACCUCUUGAGUCUUCGUAUAAUUAGUAUUACUCAUGUUAGGCACUCCCAAAAUAAAGUUAGCAACUUUCUGGCAAACUCUGCUUGCUUAGAAAGUAGAAAUAUAAGUUGAUUGUGCUCUGAUCCCCCAGGUGUCGUUGAGUUGAAUCCUGUUGAUUGUAUACUGUUGUGAUUGCUUAAUACAAGUGGUCUACCUGCAAAAAAAAGGUUUGGUGUCUUCAGUCAACCGGAAUUACGCUGGUUAGAAAACAUAUUCCAACAUAUAGGAACAACUUAAAAGGGAUGAAAACUAAAACAUGAUGACUUCAUAUUUUCACAUAAUAGCAUUAAAAUAUUUGGCUUACAAAUACCGUUUCAUUCAAGAAACAAGACAAUAAAUCUCCUAAAUUUCAUCACUAUAAAGCACGUCUUUUUGUUUGAAUCUUUAAUUUUGGUCAACGUCAUCUCCUUUUUAGAUCAAUAUAUUAACUGCAGUCUUUUGCUGAACGAUACUUGCAUGAUCACGAGUCAAGAUUGUUGAAUGAAAUAUAUAGAUUUUUAUUCUAUUAAAUGUGCCUUGAUAGAUCAGAAAUGAAAGUAGAGGUUACUAAGUAACAGACAUAAUAGCUACCUUUUGCAUUUUUCUAGUGUGCCAUAUAUGAAUUUGAGAGCUUGACUUAUAUAGCACUGUAAUUGGAUUAACAAAAAUAACAUGGCUACUUAGCGCACUCUGCACUUUGUCAAACAAUACUGGAGCAGGGCAUGAAGUGAGGGACACAAAUAAUGUAGAAACUUAGUGCAUGAACAACUGCCUAUUUAGUGCUUCCAUACGAAAAUAAUCUCACAAUUUGACCAUUAACACUCUCAACAAUUGGAAGAUGUGGGUGUUGGAACAUUAUACUCACAGACAACAAAUCACUCAAACUGAAAGCAUUGCCUCAAAUUGAAUUAGAUUCUUUCUCGAUAAGUGAAUUGAUAACCCUUUCCAUGGCCAUCUAACAUGAAACAAAUAUGAUAAAGGAGAGUAUAGAUGGAAGAUCCUAACACAUACAUGUGGGUACAAGAAGAAUUCAAUUACGAAUUCCACUUCACAGUUUAUUGAAGAAUGAAAAAGAAUAUACAUGACACAUUUAGAAUAUCCAAGGCCCGAUAAAUGUUAAAAAAAUAAGGGAGAGGUAGCUAGGUAAGACAAAUGACUAUCCUGGCUACAUAUUAUAUGCAUGCUGCCGAGACUUUGUUCUAUAGCAUUUGCCAACAUAAAUACCAUUAAUAGGUGCUUUGCUCUAUAGCUUUUCCGUUCCCCCACGGGCGAACGGCCGCGCAUCGGGCCUCCUCCCUCCAGGCUCCCCCCUUCCUUCUUCCUUCUCGCCGCCGUCGCCGGCGCCCGCGGCCGGCUUGGCCCUGGGGCUGCUGGUGGCGGCGGCCUCCUGGCCCUUUCCCUCCCGGUCGCUCUCCGGCGCGAGCGGAGCGGCUCCAGGGGGGUGCAUCUAAGCGGCGGCGGUCUGGCGUGGCGGCGGGGCUCCGUGGAGCAUGCAGGCGAGCUACUGGGUGGCGGCGGGAUCUAGCGUCGUCCGCUCGGCCCAGAUCUGGGCCCUGCAGGCCCCAUCUGGGCCAGGGCGGGCUGGCGGCGGGGAUGGAUCCGAUGUGGCUUCUGGGAGGCUGCGGAGAUGCGACGCGUGGCUGGGUGCCGGCGGUGACGACACUGGUCUGCUGCAUCGCGGCCGACGGAGUUUAACGGGCCCUCUUCGGGCCUGGCUGGGCCAGGGGUGGCCCGGCAUGCCCCGCUGCCGCGUCCGGGCGGCUACCACGAUGGUGCUGGAGGCACGGGCCUCCCGCACGACGGCGGUGGAGGUGGUUCCCUCCCGCUCGGUGUCGAUGUUGCUGCUCCCGUCGUGGUGAGCUUCUCUCCGGUCCUCUUGGCCUCGUGGUGGUGUUCGUAGUGAGGCGGCGUGGGUGGCGGCGCUACUGCGUUGGCGCAUGGUGAUGGGCGAUGGUUGGGCGGUCGGUUCAGUUCGGUUGGGCGGUUGGGGCUGGAAUGCGGGAGAAAUCCCUGCCGGCUUCGGCCCCGACGCGGUGACACCUGCGAGUGCCACCAUUCCUCCCUGGAGGGUGUCGGUGGUAUCCACCCCACCUCCCUGUGCGUGCUCGGGGAAACCUGAGGACUCGUCUGGGCAGCAGCGUCGUCGGCGUCACAUCCCUUCUUGGAGGUGUUGCUUGGUAUGCGGCGGAUCGGAGCCUCGGCAUGUGGUGUUUUAUUUCCGGUGGGCACCGCGGUGGUGGGUCAUCCGCGCUUUGCCAAGCUGCCGUCGUUGGCAUUUGUUUCUUCUUCUUUUUCUCUUGGUGUGUUGUGCUUCUCGCCACAGCGUUACCUGUACUCGGUGUUGGUUGCUUUGGAAUACAAAGCAGGGGGAAACCCUUUUUCAGUAACGCUGGGCUUAUACUUCAGUUCUGAUGAGUAAUUAAAUAUUGAAAAUCACUCGCUACAAGCAAUCAAAAUACAGUCACCAAAUAAGAAUUAAGAAAAAGUAUCGUACCUUCACCUUUGCAUUCCUAGAAAGCAAGGCAUUCCCCAAUACAGAGGGACUUCAAAAGCAGGACAAAUAUGAAUUGAUCCUCACCGUCCUCAUGUCGUUUAUUUAGAACAGAAAAGCUGAAAAGAACAUGGUUAAUCUAAGCCAACUCUGCACUUUGUGCAAGAUUUUGGAACCCAAACAAAUAAUCUCACACUAUAACUACACUUAGAAAAAUACCAUAACUUUACCAUUGCAUUCCCAGAAAGUGAGGCAUGCCCAAAUAGGGCUUCAAAAUUGAAACAUGUGAAGGAAAACACCUUCAAACAGAAGACCCUGAUCCAUACCGUCCUCAAGUUGUUUAUGUAGAAUAGAAAAGCUGAAAAGAACAUGGUUACUCUGAAGUCAUCUCUGUACUUUGUGAAAGAAGGACCCGAGCAAGUAAUCUCAGGUUGUAACUAUUAGCACUUUGAACAAUUGGAAGAUGCUGCGUUUAAGCAUGUAUUAUUCUCAUGCAAGAAAUCAUUAUGGUGAAAGCAG